Molecule: non-coding RNA, 900 nt
Organism: Physcomitrium patens
Lineage: Eukaryota; Viridiplantae; Streptophyta; Bryopsida; Funariales; Funariaceae
Source: RefSeq, a predicted model, not a curated record
CUCCGCAACUUUCCUUUGCUUGUUGUUUGUUGCUCAUGUUGGAGUGCCCACCUUUCAUCAGCUUCCAAGCAGUUUUUUGAAUGUUGUAGUGGAAUGAAGUGCUGUGGGUGGUUUCGUAUCAGCUUCAUUAGAUUGGAGUUGUUUCCUAUAUUUAUUAUUUAUUAAUUUCAUUUUUUUUGCAUAGCAUUUUGCAGGAGGUGAUAUGAUUUGUCAGUCAUGACGAUGGAUGAAAUUCGACGAGAAAGAAUGUGGUUUUUUGUUUUUGUUUUUUCUUUUGUUUGUUGUUGUGAGUGUUGAAUCGUGGUAGUGUGAAUCUGGCGGCGAGCGUGAAAAAACUUGCUACAAUCAUUUUCGUACCAGUGCGUUCCUCCAAACCACCACGCUCACGUUGAUGCGAAGUUGGUCUGAAGGAGUUCAUUGGUACACAAAUCAUAAGAGCAUGGAGGACCGGAGAAUCGAGGUGUCCCCCAGCACGGAGUAGAAGGCUUGCGCAAUGUGGCUUCGGAGUGAUGUGUCUCUAUCGUAGUCAUCGUGCGGUUAUGUUUGGGCUUAUGGGGACGUUACCUCUAUUAAGAUCGAUUCGUGCAUGGAGCCUGUCCAUGUAGUCGAUUCAAGAAUACUGAACAGAAUCAUGCAGCGAAACUGGCUUCCCACUUCCGGAUUCAUCAUAUCUAUGAUCUAAAUUUCAGUUCGGAAUUGCAGAAAACAUCAAGCUUCUCAUGGUUCCUGUUUGCUUCAUACUUCACGCCUGCUACUUUUCAUUAGUUGUAUAACUGGCAUAAUCUGUGAUUUUAUGUGAACACUCUCACCGCAGUCGUUGGUGAGAUCGCCAGUCUCCUUUGAUUUUACGUAAAUUUUAAUAAAUAAAUAAAUGCAUUCUGGCGCUGUCAAAUUCAUGAA